CGCGCGGCGCCUGCAGCGGCGGACGGACGGACGGACGGACCGCGGACGGAUGUACUGACCCCAACCCGCGAGCCCCGGGAGCCGUCGGUCUGAGGAGGGGCCGCUUCUCCAUGUCGCCCCGCACCUGCUGAGCCCGGAGCGUCCGAGGAUGUCCGCGCUGAGGAAGGAAAGAAGAAUUGCAGGGAUGCCUGUGAGAUGGGAGGUGCCGCUGAAGGUCUUUUGAGAUUGUGGACAGACCUGCAGGAAUGAGAAGUUCUCCGCGAGGCGCUGAGAGGGAGGCACAGAUGCCUGGGGGAAUGAAAAGGAGCCACAGACGGUGGAUGGAGAGGGAGGAAGUAGUUGGUGGAGCAGCCAGCAGCCCUAGGAGCUUCGAGUUCUUUAUUCAUCAUUCGAAUGCUGUGGGUAUAAAAACGUGCCGGCUCACCAGAUGGAGCCUUAUCCACUCCACAGACACACUUGCGUGUCCUCUAAGAUGAUCCCAGAUAAUGAAAUAGAUAAAUACUUGUUAUUUUCUUUGAGGUCUUAAAAAAUCCUGCACAGAGAAAGCCGGGUAUGUUGAGUGGCCCGCCGUGGGGUAGGCCGUUUCCUGUCCGGGCGGCGCGGUGCCGCGUGUGAUUGCAGCAGGAAGGGCCUUCGCGGCACCACCACGGGCCGACCCUGGGCGCGGUGUCAGGUGCACUUUAAUUCCCCAUUUAACAGCCCUGCCUUAUUGUCUACCUUCCCUGGAGCCCUCUUUCCGAGGGUGGGAAGCUUCGGUUGCCUGGCGGAUCUGAGUGAGGAUGGAGCCGCACCGCUCCACGUGGGGAGUGAGUGGUAUGGCGUGGGAGGCCUCAGAGCAGGUGCCUUUCCGAGUGGGAGGCCUCAGAGCAGGUGCCUUUCCGAGUCCUCACGGCAGCCUCUGCAGCAGGCCUCCCAGCCACACUUGACAACCUUUCCUGGGGCUCACUUUGCGAGACCCUGACGGAUUUCGUCCACUGUCACUGCCGUAUCCCGUCGCCAA
This 1000-nucleotide small RNA is filed under the name Pan troglodytes (chimpanzee). Its description in RNAcentral is "processed transcript". The record is from RNAcentral. Lineage: Eukaryota; Metazoa; Chordata; Mammalia; Primates; Hominidae.